Molecule: long non-coding RNA, 1321 nt
Organism: Octopus bimaculoides (California two-spot octopus)
Lineage: Eukaryota; Metazoa; Mollusca; Cephalopoda; Octopoda; Octopodidae
Source: RefSeq, a predicted model, not a curated record
UUGAGAGAUGCUUUCUGUCAUUGUCAUAGAUCUUGAAAUUUUAAAAUGAAGUGAAAAUUUUCAAAUUUGGCAUAUUGAUGUACUUUUUCACACUGAAUUCAUCCGAGUCAGUGAUUCAUUUAUUCCAGAAAAAUUUUAGGAAAAUCUUACAGAGGUUUAGAGUUUAAUCAUUUUAAUCCAAUCAGAAAACAGGAUUUGUGCGUAAUAGCUGUGAUAAAAUGAAAGUAAACAUUGGAAGACGAAGCUUUAAACAAAAUGAAAACAAUGCGUGAGAGAUAAUACAUAUAUACAGACAGGAAGAGAGAGAAAGAGAGAGAGAGAGAGAGAGAGAGAGAGAGAGAGAGAGAGAGAGAGAGAGAGAGAGAGAGAGAGAGAGAGAGAGAGAGAGAGAGAGAGAGAGAGAGAGAGAGAGAGAGAGAGAGAAGGAGAGAGAGAAAGAGAGAAGGAGAGAGAAAUGAAAAGUGUGGUAACUAAGAUAGAAAGAAAGAGAUUGAUGGGAGAGCUGUCGGACUACAAGUUAUUUCUCUUAGAAAAUUAUAUAUUUCUAUUUACGGAUGACUUCUUUGGGAUGCAAAUUUCGAAAAUCAAAUUAGUUUUUCUCGAGGACGCACCGUUUCAGAGCCUUUCGGGCCUAAACACACAUACAUAACCACAUACGCUCGCAUUUGUAUAGUAGAUAUAGACUACUAAUCAUUACUAAUAUUCUGAAUAUAAACAUGAAUAUAAAUAUGAAAAAAAAAAAAAAAAAUUUAAGUAAUUUUGAACAGCGUGAAAAGAUCAAGGUCAUGAAAACUUUCCCCUUCCUUCUCCUCACCAUCCCAGUUCUCACCUCCGAGAAACAUUGUUUCAUUGCCACAGAUUUUGGGGUCAGAAAUGUUUUUGGUUUCAUCGACUCCAGUGCUUAUUUUACGAUCCAGUUUGAGAAGAAAGAUAAAGUCGACCCGAGCCUAAUUUGAACUUAGAACAUAACGGAACCUACCUAACUACAGCAGGAUAAUUCCACCGGCUGAAUCAUUAUAGAAAAUUAGCCACACUCCUCUCGCAGAGAAUAAAAGAGUCUGGUAGGAAUUCAACAGUCAUGAAGCAGAGUGUACAAGACGUUACCAAGGUCAUCUUUUUGAACAACUCAUCUUUAUCAAGACGUACUGUAAGCGUGGAAAAGCAUUCAGUUGGACAAUUACGAGUAAUGCAUUCGUCCAGCAAAUUGACGAAUCCGUUCUAAGGGAUAUAAUAAAAGUUAUCUUAUGGUGUAUGUUAUGUAUAAGAAAUAAUAAAGCUUACAACUGGCAGCAAGAUAGAAUAAAUUUUAAAGAAAUUGAAA